RNAcentral lists this ribosomal RNA (250 nucleotides) under uncultured bacterium. Its description in RNAcentral is "partial 16S ribosomal RNA". It matches the Rfam family "Bacterial small subunit ribosomal RNA", at positions 805 to 1058 of the family's 1533-position model. The record is from RNAcentral.
AACCAUGGAUGCUCGCUGUCGGCGAUAAAUUGCCGGUGGCCUAGCGAAAGCGUUAAGCAUCCCACCUGGGGAGUACGCCGGCAACGGUGAAACUCAAAGGAAUUGACGGGGGCCCGCACAAGCGGAGGAACAUGUGGUUUAAUUCGAUGAUACGCGAGGAACCUUACCCGGGCUUGAAUUGCAGAGGAAAGAUCCAGAGAUGGUGAUGCCCUUCGGGGUCUCUGUGAAGGUGCUGCAUGGCUGUCGUCAG